GAUGAACGUUGGCGGCGUGCCUAAUACAUGCAAGUCGAACGAAGACUGUAGUAAUACUGUCUUAGUGGCGAACGGGUGAGUAACGCGUGGGCAACCUGCCCCUGAGCCCGGGAUAACAGUUCGAAAGGACUGCUAAGACCGGAUAUACUUGCGGUGAAGCAUUUCACUGCAAGGAAAGGGAACGCUCAGGGAUGGGCCCGCGUCCCAUUAGCUAGUUGGUGAGGUAACGGCCCACCAAGGCGACGAUGGGUAGCCGGCCUGAGAGGGUGAACGGCCACACUGGGACUGAGACACGGCCCAGACUCCUACGGGAGGCAGCAGUUGGGAAUCUUCGGCAAUGGGCGCAAGCCUGACCGAGCAACGCCGCGUGAGUGAUGAAGGUUUUCGGAUUGUAAAGCUCUGUCUUCCGGGACGAUAAUGACGGUACCGGAGGAGGAAGCCACGGCUAACUACGUG
This 456-nucleotide ribosomal RNA is filed under the name uncultured bacterium. Its description in RNAcentral is "bacterial SSU rRNA". It matches the Rfam family "Bacterial small subunit ribosomal RNA", at positions 28 to 507 of the family's 1533-position model. The record is from RNAcentral.